AUGAGGAUGUACUCCAAGCGGAAUGACCUUUGCACGACGCGCCUAUCAGAGGUGGCCGAGGACGAUGCAACGCUCUUCUCAGAAGCAGUUGAGGAGGCGAAUGAUGCGUCCAACCAAGUUGGCCGCGAAGGAAGAUGCGCUCUUCUUGUACAUGUGUUGUCGAGGCGGCGGACGACGCGCCCAGCGGAGGUGGCCGCGGAUGAAGAGGCGCUCUUCUCGUACCAGGUGUUGUCGAGGCGGCGGAUGACGCGCCCAACGGAGGUGGCCGCAGACAAAGCGGCGCGCUUUCUCGUACCAGGUGCAAUGAAGACGGCGGCGCCCUCGCACACAUGGAUGCAUGUUAGAACAAGGAGGUCAUCGCCCACUUCUUCAACCCCGAUGACAAGGAGACAAGGAGCUUGCCACAGCCACUGCCAUCAAGCCGGUGCCGCAGAAGAUGGUGUCGUGGACCUUGAGGGAUGUUGUCGGCAUCCACUUCGUCAAGAUGGUGCCUCGAUGGAUGGCGACACGGAGCUCGCUCGGAUGAUGCUCCGUCGUCUUCUUCACCAAGACGGUGCCAUAGAGGAUGGAGGCAUGGAGCCCGAAGAUGCCGCCAUCGUGCCAUGGAUGAUGGAGGCGCGGAGCUCGCCAAGAUGA
This 636-nucleotide ribosomal RNA is filed under the name Triticum aestivum (bread wheat). RNAcentral describes it as "partial small subunit ribosomal RNA". Lineage: Eukaryota; Viridiplantae; Streptophyta; Magnoliopsida; Poales; Poaceae. The record is from RNAcentral.